GACGAACGCUGGCGGCGUGCUUAACACAUGCAAGUCGAACGAACAGACCCUGCUUUUGUGGGGCGGACGAGUGGCGCACGCGUGAGUGACACGUGAGUAACAUGCCCUUAUAAUUCGGAUAACUUCACGGAAAUGGGGCUCAAAUCGCAUAUAAUCUACUGCUGCGUGGGGGGGGAUGGAAAGAUACGGCGGUUGGGGAUGGAUUCGCGGGUUAUGCGCUUGUUUGUGGGGUAGUGGCUGACAAAGGCUACGACGGCUAGCCGGCCUGGGAGGGUGAACGGGCACAUGGGGCCUGCGAGAGGGCGCAGAAGCGUACGGGCGGCAGCAGUGGGGAAUAUUGCACAAUGGGCGGAAGCCUGAGGCAGCAACGCCGGGUGCGGGAUGACGGCCUUCGGGUUGAAAACCGAUGUCGCCGGUGACGAAGCGUGCGUGACGGUAAUGGGUCAAGAAGCACCGGCUAACUACGUG
RNAcentral lists this ribosomal RNA (468 nucleotides) under uncultured bacterium. RNAcentral describes it as "partial 16S ribosomal RNA". It matches the Rfam family "Bacterial small subunit ribosomal RNA", at positions 28 to 507 of the family's 1533-position model. The record is from RNAcentral.